Non-coding RNA from Cajanus cajan (pigeon pea), 81 nucleotides. The record is from Rfam. NCBI's taxonomy places the organism in Eukaryota, Viridiplantae, Streptophyta, Magnoliopsida, Fabales, Fabaceae.
CAGUUAGGGGAAUGAUGUACUACCGGCGGGCUAUUAAGCUUCAGGCUUUUCUUGAUAUGGCAAAUGAAAAGGGUACGUAUA